This 481-nucleotide long non-coding RNA is filed under the name Lepisosteus oculatus (spotted gar). RNAcentral describes it as "lncRNA (ENSLOCG00000022996.1)". Lineage: Eukaryota; Metazoa; Chordata; Actinopteri; Semionotiformes; Lepisosteidae. The record is from RNAcentral.
UAGAAUUGUGAGCUUUUCUUGUUAUUCCUUUCAGAAUCCCAGUUCUGUUUGUCAAGCUCUCUAUUUUAAAAUGUGGUACAAUGCCGGCUCGUAGAUCAUCUUCGAAAUCUAGAGAUAUUUACAAGAAAAAAAACAGACGUGUUUCAUAUUUCCUCAUGCCUUGGUGGAAACUCCAUUUGCACGGCUGUACCCAGGCAGAUGAAUCAGCAGAGGGUGCUAUUAAUCAGCACCAGAUUACAGGCAUUCUGUCAAAGUGGUGAAAACAGUCGCCACCCUUCACAUUCUGGUGUCUAUGCUAGACCACCAGACAAGACCCCCUCACCAACUCCAGCACGAGGCUGCGCUGCUGUCCUCCUCAGCCUGAUCCCAGAGGUUACUGCGGAGCAAAGCAAGCGGACCUGGACCCACAGCCCUACAGUUCCAAGCCCUGCACCCUACCUGCUGCACGCAGCUGCUUUUUAUCCCCAUGCAGAGAAGCCAC